This 856-nucleotide ribosomal RNA is filed under the name uncultured bacterium. RNAcentral describes it as "bacterial SSU rRNA". It matches the Rfam family "Bacterial small subunit ribosomal RNA", at positions 22 to 906 of the family's 1533-position model. The record is from RNAcentral.
GCUCAGAACGAACGCGGGCGGCGUGCUUAACACAUGCAAGUCGAACGGGACCUUCGGGUCUAGUGGCGGACGGGUGAGUAAUACAUAGGUAAUCUGCCUUUAAGUGGGGGACAACCAGGCGAAAGUUUGGCUAAUACCGCGUAAUGUCGUAUCUUGGAAUAGUUACGAAGAAAGAUUUAUCGCUUUUAGAGGAGCCUAUGGUUGAUUAGCUAGUUGGUGGGGUAAGAGCCUACCAAGGCGACGAUCAAUAGCUGGUCUGAGAGGACGAUCAGCCACACUGGGACUGAGACACGGCCCAGACUUCUACGGAAGGCAGCAGUGGGGAAUUUUCCGCAAUGGGCGCAAGCCUGACGGAGCGACGCCGCGUAUGGGAUGAAGUAUUUCGGUAUGUAAACCAUUGUCAGUGGGGACGAAACAAAUGACGGUACCCACAGAGGAAGCAUCGGCUAACUACGUGCCAGCAGCCGCGGUAAUACGUAGGAUGCAAGCGUUGUUCGGAAUUACUGGGCGUAAAGAGUACGUAGGCGGUCUGGCAAGUCUGAUAUUAAAGACUGGAGCUUAACUUCAGGACUGUAUCGAAAACUGCCAAACUAGAGGACUAUAGAGGAAGUCGGAAUUCUCAGUGUAGCGGUGAAAUGCGUAGAUAUUGGGAAGAACACCAGUGGCGAAAGCGGACUUCUGGGUAGUUACUGACGCUGAGGUGCGAAAGCGUGGGUAGCAAACAGGAUUAGAUACCCUGGUAGUCCACGCCGUAAACGAUGUCAACUAGGUGUUGGUAGUGUUACACUAUCAGUGCCGAAGCCAACGCGUUAAGUUGACCGCCUGGGGACUACGAGCGCAAGCUUAAAACUCAAAG